Long non-coding RNA from Solea solea (common sole), 469 nucleotides. RefSeq lists it as uncharacterized. The record is from RefSeq and is a predicted model, not a curated record. The transcript is spliced from 3 exons. Lineage: Eukaryota; Metazoa; Chordata; Actinopteri; Pleuronectiformes; Soleidae.
UGAGCUGUCCUCUACAUCCAAGCACUGCCUCUGACCUGCCAAAUAAUGAGCUGUCCUCUACAUCCAAGCACUGCCUCUGACCUGCCAAAUAAUGAGUGUUUGUCAGAGGCUGCUCACAAGAUUGAGAGAGGAAGAAGAAGAAGAAGAAGAGGAGGAUUAUUCUUCACCAUGUCAACAUGAUUGCGUGAAUGAAGAUCGCAAUCAGAUGAAUGUGUUAAUCCCUGGGAAAAAAAGAAAAAAAAAGAAGAAGAAGAGGUGAAAGUUCUCCCGCCCUCAGGCUCCAGUUUCCAUGGAAACCGUGGUUCUCGUUUAAAAAACUCCGCCCUAAUGACAGACUCCUGUUUUUGACCCCGAGAUGAAGAAGUGACCCUCGUUUUAAUCUGACUGAAAGGCGAGAGAGAGGGAGGGAGGGAGAGAGAGAGAGAGGGAAAACAGCAGGAUGAGAGGAGAAGUGUAAGCAGGAGGAGGA